Molecule: transfer RNA, 73 nt
Organism: Drosophila melanogaster (fruit fly)
Lineage: Eukaryota; Metazoa; Arthropoda; Insecta; Diptera; Drosophilidae
Source: Ensembl
GUUUCCGUAGUGUAGCGGUUAUCACGUGUGCUUCACACGCACAAGGUCCCCGGUUCGAACCCGGGCGGGAACA